AUUUGAAUUUUAGGUCAACCUAAAUGUCAAAGAGAUCUAUAUUUUAUAAAUUUUAAUUAUUAUAUUCAAAUAUUAAUUUUUUAAAAAAGUUUCUUUCAACUUUUCAUCCGGCAAUAGAACCGAUGGCAAUGUAACUUACUAUAUUCGCGAGCUAACUCGUGUUCGGCUCGUUAAUAAACAGGUCGAUCACUGGCUAAACUUUUUCGCUCGAUAUUUUAACGAUCCAAUUUGUGUUCAACUCGUUUAAUAAAUGAACGAACAAAAGCUGCUGACUCUCGCUCGCUCGUGUUCGACUCGUGGACAACCCUAGUUAUAUCCAUACAAAU
This 326-nucleotide long non-coding RNA is filed under the name Ananas comosus (pineapple). RNAcentral's name for it is "long non-coding RNA (ACOM_LNC014631)". The record is from RNAcentral. Lineage: Eukaryota; Viridiplantae; Streptophyta; Magnoliopsida; Poales; Bromeliaceae.